UAUCUCAGUAUUGUAUACACCUGCAGCAAGUGUAUAAUAAUAUCCUUUAAAGUUUAAGCACUUUUCAGACAUCAAACACUGCGCGAGAAUUAAUUGAAAUCUAAAAUGUCCAUCACUGCGCGCUUUUUUAUUUAUUUAUUUUCUAUUAAUUUAACGCAAAUAUAUAUAUAUUAUAAUUAUUGCUCGGUUAGGUUCAUUGUGUCAAUCUAACAGUCUGGUGAUUAGCCGCGUAACAUUGAGUACCUGUAUAACCUAGUAUCU
Non-coding RNA from Cinara cedri, 261 nucleotides. Lineage: Eukaryota; Metazoa; Arthropoda; Insecta; Hemiptera; Aphididae. The record is from the annotation of a GenBank genome assembly.